GAGGUGUAACUCAGAUGGACAGAGUGCUUGUUUCCGAAGCAAGUGGUCACAGGUACCGCUUCGCGCAAGCUACGAUCCCUGUCAUCCUCG
This 90-nucleotide transfer RNA is filed under the name Elainella sp. C42_A2020_010. Its description in RNAcentral is "tRNA-Arg". It matches the Rfam family "tRNA". Rfam says of the family: Transfer RNA (tRNA) molecules are approximately 80 nucleotides in length. Their secondary structure includes four short double-helical elements and three loops (D, anti-codon, and T loops). Further hydrogen bonds mediate the characteristic L-shaped molecular structure. tRNAs have two regions of fundamental functional importance: the anti-codon, which is responsible for specific mRNA codon recognition, and the 3' end, to which the tRNAs corresponding amino acid is attached (by aminoacyl-tRNA synthetases). tRNAs cope with the degeneracy of the genetic code in two manners: having more than one tRNA (with a specific anti-codon) for a particular amino acid; and 'wobble' base-pairing, i.e. permitting non-standard base-pairing at the 3rd anti-codon position. Lineage: Bacteria; Bacillati; Cyanobacteriota; Cyanophyceae; Oculatellales; Oculatellaceae. The record is from RNAcentral.